AUGCUGGGUCGCCUAACCAGUCGACCUAGUCGCCCACACGCACCCCCUACACCCCUCGGAAAUCUCCUAAGCCGGCAAUACCAACUCGCCUACCCCCGGCGUGCUAGGUCGCCUAAGCCGUCGACCUACUCGCCCACACGGAACCCCCACACACCAUUGGAAAUCGAUCUCAACCGGCAAUACCAACUCGCCUACCCCGGCGUGCUAGAACCUCAUGAUUCAUACAAUUUCAUUGUGAAUUGCCUGGAGAGGUUUCCGCAGUACAAGUACCGUGAUUUCUACAUUCAGAAGCAAGCAUCCAGUUCUACAGGGUACGGGGAUGCAAGAACAGGGGACAAGAUCCAAGUCAUGUUCUGCAAACACUUUGUUACAGGGGCAAUUUUUGCAACUAGAAGAUUAUGGGAGAAGGCCAUGGCAUCCAGCGGUGGCUGGGGGAAGGAGUUGCACGGGGGAUCUGGGCUGAUGGGCGUAGGAUUUUCUGGUGCUGGGUGGAGGGGGAGGAUCAGUGGAUCACGUGAGGGAAAGGAUGGCUGGUUGUCGGGACGUUGCAACGAGAUGGGGAAGCUGUACUUGCCUUCUUUAGCACGUGGGUUUCUCCUAUUUCGUCCCAUCGCGGCCAUGGUCUUCCCUUUUAGUGGUCCGGUGAUGAAUCAACAGCUUGACAGCUUGUCUUUUGAGGAUGAAUCAGCAGCUUGA
Molecule: ribosomal RNA, 696 nt
Filed under: Triticum aestivum (bread wheat)
Lineage: Eukaryota; Viridiplantae; Streptophyta; Magnoliopsida; Poales; Poaceae
Description: partial small subunit ribosomal RNA
Source: RNAcentral